RNAcentral lists this ribosomal RNA (415 nucleotides) under uncultured prokaryote. RNAcentral's name for it is "bacterial SSU rRNA". It matches the Rfam family "Bacterial small subunit ribosomal RNA", at positions 505 to 918 of the family's 1533-position model. The record is from RNAcentral.
GUGUCAGCCGCCGCGGUAAUACGUAGGAGGCAAGCGUUAUCCGGAUUUACUGGGCGUAAAGAGAGCGUAGGCGGUUUGGUAAGUCGGAUGUGAAAUCUCCCGGCUCAACCGGGAGGAGUCAUUCGAUACUGUUGAACUAGAGUGCAGCAGGGGGAAGUGGAAUUCCCGGUGUAGUGGUGAUAUGCGUAGAUAUCGGGAGGAACACCAGUGGCGAAGGCGGCUUCCUGGGCUGUUUCUGACGCUGAGGCUCGAAAGUGUGGGGAGCGAACAGGAUUAGAUACCCUGGUAGUCCACACUGUAAACGAUGGACACUAGGUAUGGGGAGUAUCGACCCUCUCUGUGCCGAAGUUAACGCUUUAAGUGUCCCGCCUGGGGACUACGGCCGCAAGGCUAAAACUUAAAUGAAUUGACGGGG